RNAcentral lists this ribosomal RNA (427 nucleotides) under uncultured Peredibacter sp. RNAcentral describes it as "bacterial SSU rRNA". It matches the Rfam family "Bacterial small subunit ribosomal RNA", at positions 355 to 774 of the family's 1533-position model. The record is from RNAcentral. Lineage: Bacteria; Pseudomonadati; Bdellovibrionota; Bacteriovoracia; Bacteriovoracales; Bacteriovoracaceae.
UAGGGAAUAUUGCGCAAUGGGGGAAACCCUGACGCAGCAACGCCGCGUGAGUGAGGAAGGUCUUCGGAUUGUAAAACUCUUUUCUUAGGGAAAAAUGGUCAUGGAGCUAAUACCCCAUGAUUUGAUGGUACCUAAGGAAUAAGCACCGGCUAACUUCGUGCCAGCAGCCGCGGUAAUACGAAGGGUGCAAGCGUUAUUCGGAAUCAUUGGGCGUAAAGCGCGCGCAGGCGGAUUAAUAAGUCAGGUGUGAAAUCUCGAAGCUCAACUUCGAAACUGCGCCUGAAACUAUUAGUCUAGAGUGUCGGAGGGGGUAGGGGAAUUUCACGUGUAGGGGUAAAAUCCGUAGAGAUGUGAAGGAACACCGGAGGCGAAGGCGCCUACCUGGACGACUACUGACGCUGAGGCGCGAAAGCGUGGGGAGCAAACA